RNAcentral lists this ribosomal RNA (253 nucleotides) under uncultured bacterium. Its description in RNAcentral is "partial 16S ribosomal RNA". It matches the Rfam family "Bacterial small subunit ribosomal RNA", at positions 524 to 776 of the family's 1533-position model. The record is from RNAcentral.
UACAGAGGUCUCAAGCGUUGUUCGGAAUCACUGGGCGUAAAGGGUGCGCAGGCCGCGCGGGCAGUCAAAUGUGUAAUCCAGGGGCUCAACCCCUGAACUGCGCUUGAUACUUCCGCGCUAGAACUUUGGAGAGGAGUCUGGAAUUCUCGGUGUAGCAGUGAAAUGCGUGGAUAUCGAGAAGAACACUUAGGGCGUAGGCAAGACUCUGGACAAAUGUUGACGCUCAAGCACGAAGGCUAGGGUAGCGAACGGG